This 933-nucleotide ribosomal RNA is filed under the name uncultured bacterium. RNAcentral's name for it is "bacterial SSU rRNA". It matches the Rfam family "Bacterial small subunit ribosomal RNA", at positions 8 to 964 of the family's 1533-position model. The record is from RNAcentral.
AGAGUUUGAUCAUGGCUCAGGAUGAACGCUGGCGGCGUGCUUAACACAUGCAAGUCGAACGGUGAACCAGGGGCUUGCCUCUGGGGAUCAGUGGCGAACGGGUGAGUAACACGUGAGCAACCUGCCCCGGACUCUGGGAUAAGCGCUGGAAACGGCGUCUAAUACCGGAUAUGAGCUUCCAUCGCAUGGUGGGGGUUGGAAAGAUUUUUCGGUUCGGGAUGGGCUCGCGGCCUAUCAGCUUGUUGGUGAGGUAAUGGCUCACCAAGGCGUCGACGGGUAGCCGGCCUGAGAGGGUGACCGGCCACACUGGGACUGAGACACGGCCCAGACUCCUACGGGAGGCAGCAGUGGGGAAUAUUGCACAAUGGGCGCAAGCCUGAUGCAGCAACGCCGCGUGAGGGAUGACGGCCUUCGGGUUGUAAACCUCUUUUAGCAGGGAAGAAGCGAGAGUGACGGUACCUGCAGAAAAAGCGCCAGCUAACUACGUGCCAGCAGCCGCGGUAAUACGUAGGGCGCAAGCGUUAUCCGGAAUUAUUGGGCGUAAAGAGCUCGUAGGCGGUUUGUCGCGUCUGCUGUGAAAACCCGAGGCUCAACCUCGGGCCUGCAGUGGGUACGGGCAGACUAGAGUGCGGUAGGGGAGAUUGGAAUUCCUGGUGUAGCGGUGGAAUGCGCAGAUAUCAGGAGGAACACCGAUGGCGAAGGCAGAUCUCUGGGCCGUAACUGACGCUGAGGAGCGAAAGGGUGGGGAGCAAACAGGCUUAGAUACCCUGGUAGUCCACCCCGUAAACGUUGGGAACUUAGUUGCGGGGUCCUUUCCACGGAUUCCGUGACGCAGCUAACGACAUUAAGUUACCCGCUCUGGGGAGUACGGCCGCAAGGCUAAAACUCAAAGGAAUAUCUGCUGAAAAACUCGAGCCAUCCGAAGUAGCGCGA